GGGGACCGACUCUUCGGAGAGCCUGCACAGGUGCUGCAUGGCUGUCGCAGCUCGUGCCGUGAGGUGUCCGGUUAAGUCCGGUAACGAGCGCAACCCUCGCCAUAUGUUACAAGUGUCAUAUGGGACUGCCGAUAUAAAGUCGGAGGAAGUGGGAUGACGUCAAGUCAGCAUGGCCUUUAUGUCCGGGGCUACACACACGCUACAAUGGCCGGUACAAUAGGUAGCAAGACCGCGAGGUGGAGCCAAUCCUUAAAGCCGGUCUCAGUUCAGAUUGCAGGCUGCAACUCGCCUGCAUGAAGUCGGAGUUGCUAGUAACCGCGCGUCAGCAAUAGUGCGGUGAAUACGUUCCCGGGCCUU
Molecule: ribosomal RNA, 357 nt
Filed under: uncultured Anaerolineaceae bacterium
Lineage: Bacteria; Bacillati; Chloroflexota; Anaerolineae; Anaerolineales; Anaerolineaceae
Description: bacterial SSU rRNA
Rfam family: Bacterial small subunit ribosomal RNA
Source: RNAcentral